UCAAGCUAAUAAGAGCACAGGGUGGAUGCCCAGGCACCAAACGCCGACGAAAGACGUGGCAAGCUGCGAAAAGUCACGGGGAACCGCAAGCAGGUAUUGAUCCGUGAACGUCUGAAUGGGGAAACCCGGCGGGUUAACAGCCCGUCACUAUUAACUGAAUCAAUAGGUUAAUAGGGGGAACGCGGGGAACUGAAACAUCUCAGUACCCGUAGGAAGAGAAAAUAAAGAAUGAUUUCCUAAGUAGCGGCGAGCGAACGGGAAAGAGGCCAAACCGAAGGGCUUGCUCUUCGGGGUUGUGGAUCAGCGAUAAGUACGGAAGACCUUAGCAGAAGAGGAUUGGAAAGUCCCGCCAGAGAGGGUAAAAGCCCCUUACGCGAAAAGGUCAAACGACGAGCUGACACCAGAGUACCGCAGGACACGAGAAAUCCGGUGGGAAGCCGGGAGGACCACCUCCCAAGCCUAAAUACGAAUUGGUGACCGAUAGCGCAUAGUACCGUGAGGGAAAGGUGAAAAGAACCCCGGGAGGGGAGUGAAAAAGAACCUGAAACCCUGUGUUUACAAGCAGUGAAAGUGCGAGCAAGGCACGAUCACGUACUUUUUGUAGAACGGACCGGCGAGUUACGUUAUGCAGCAAGGUUAAGAACUGAAGGUUCGGAGCCGAAGCGAAAGCGAGUCUGAAUAGGGCGAUAGUUGCAUGACGUAGACCCGAAACCGGGUGACCUAUCCAUGAGCAGGUUGAAGUGGAGGUAAAGCUCCAUGGAGGACCGAACCAGACGUCUGUUGAAAAAGGCGGGGAUGACUUGUGGAUAGGGGAGAAAUUCCAAUCGAACCCGGAGAUAGCUGGUUCUCCUCGAAAUAGCUUUAGGGCUAGCCUCAUGGAUCAUUGGUGGGGGUAGAGCACUGAAUGUGCGCGGGGGCCACAAAGCCUACCAAACGCUAUCAAACUUCGAAUACCAUACAAUGCAGACCAUGGGAGUCAGUCCGCGAGAGAUAAGUUCCGCGGGCAAAAGGGGAACACCCCAGAUCAACCGCUAAGGUCCCUAAGUUCACGUUAAGUGGAGAAGGAUGUGGAAUUGCACAGACAACCAGGAUGUUGGCUCAGAAGCAGCCACACAUUUAAAGAGUGCGUAAUAGCUCACUGGUCGAGUGAUUGUGCGCCGAAGAUGUCCGGGGCUAAACGUGACACCGAAGCGAUGGGUGCGUCUGAAGAAGAUGCGCGGUAGAGGAGCAAUGUGCAGAGGCAGAAGCCGUAUCGAGAGGCACGGUGGACACUGCACAAGAGAGAAUGCCGGUAUGAGUAGCGAGAGGCAUGCGAGAAACAUGCCCGUCGAAAGCCCAAGGUUUCCUGGGGAAGGUUCAUCCGCCCAGGGUAAGUCGGGGCCUAAGCCGAGGACGGAAGUCGUAGGCGAUGGACAGCAGGUGUAGAUUCCUGCACUACCGAUGGAAUGAAGCAGUGACACAGAAGGAUAACUCGAGCAGGGUGAUGGUCAACCCUGUGCAAGCAUCAAGGUUGGGUUGUAGUGAAGUACGCAACCCUAUAAGCUGAGGUGUGAUGCGGACCGAAAUUUCAGUAGGGAAGCGAGUGAGUUCACGCUGGCGAGAAAAGCUGCUAGUACAUCCAAAGGUACCCGUACCGGAAACCGACGCAGGUGGGCGAGGAGAGAAUCCUGAGACGAACGGGAGAACCCUUGUUAAGGAACUCGGCAAAAUGACCCCGUAACUUCGGGAUAAGGGGUGCCUGCGAGAGCAGGCCGCAGAGAAUAGUCACAAGCGACUGUUUAGCAAAAACACAGGUAUCUGCGAAAGCGAGAGCUGACGUAUAGGUGCUGACACCUGCCCGGUGCUGGAAGGUUAAGGGAACAUGUUAGAGCAAUCGAAGCAUCGAACCGAAGCCCCAGUAAACGGCGGCCGUAACUAUAACGGUCCUAAGGUAGCGAAAUUCCUUGUCGGGU
This 1952-nucleotide ribosomal RNA is filed under the name human gut metagenome. RNAcentral's name for it is "bacterial LSU rRNA". It matches the Rfam family "Bacterial large subunit ribosomal RNA", at positions 3 to 1977 of the family's 2925-position model. The record is from RNAcentral.